UAUCCGAGACCUCAAAGGCUCUUGACGCUCUUCGGAGUAGAUGGAGAAUCCAUGAUACUAUCGAGCCAAGAAAAGUUUCUAAGUUUAGUAAUAAUUGCCCGUACCGUAAACCGACACAGGUGGGUGGGAUGAGUAUUCUAAGGCGCGUGGAAGAACUCUCUUUAAGGAACUCUGCAAAAUAGCACCGUAUCUUCGGUAUAAGGUGUGCCUAACUUUGUAUUAAGAUUUACUCCCAAAGCAAAGAAGGUUACAACAAAGAGUCCCUCCCGACUGUUUACCAUAAACACAGCACUCUGCUAACUCGUAAGAGGAUGUAUAGGGUGUGACGCCUGCCCGGUGCUCGAAGGUUAAUUGAUGGGGUUAGCAUUAGCGAAGCUCUUGAUCGAAGCCCGAGUAAACGGCGGCCGUAACUAUAACGGUCCUAAGGUAGCGAAAUUCCUUGUCGGUUAAAUACCGACCUGCAUGAAUGGCGUAACGAGAUGGGAGCUGUCUCAAAGAGGGAUCCAGUGAAAUUGUAGUGGAGGUGAAAAUUCCUCCUACCCGCGGCAAGACGGAAAGACCCCGUGGACCUUUACUACAGCUUGACACUGCUAUUUGGAUAAAGAUGCGCAGGAUAGGUGGGAGGCUUUGAUCCAUAGACUCUGGUUUAUGGUGAGCCAUUGUUGAGAUACCACUCUUCUUUAUUUGGGUAGCUAACUAGCCUAAGUUAUCCUUAGGUAGGACAAUGUCUGGUGGGUAGUUUGACUGGGGCGGUCGCCUCCCAAAGUGUAACGGAGGCUUACAAAGGUUGGCUCAGAACGGUUGGAAAUCGUUCGUAGAGUAUAAAGGCAUAAGCCAGCUUAACUGCGAGACGUACAUGUCAAGCAGAGACGAAAGUCGGUCUUAGUGAUCCGGUGGUUCUGUGUGGAAGGGCCAUCGCUCAAAGGAUAAAAGGUACCCCGGGGAUAACAGGCUGAUCUCCCCCAAGAGCUCACAUCGACGGGGAGGUUUGGCACCUCGAUGUCGGCUCAUCGCAUCCUGGGGCUGGAGCAGGUCCCAAGGGUAUGGCUGUUCGCCAUUUAAAGCGGUACGCGAGCUGGGUUCAGAACGUCGUGAGACAGUUCGGUCCCUAUCUGCCGUGGGCGUAAGAAGAUUGAGGAGAGUUGACCCUAGUACGAGAGGACCGGGUUGAACCAGCCACUGGUGUAUCAGUUGUUCUGCCAAGAGCAUCGCUGAGUAGCUAAGCUGGGAUGUGAUAAGAGCUGAAAGCAUCUAAGCUCGAAGCCAACUCCAAGAUGAAUCUUCUUUUAAGAGCUCUAGUAGACUACUAGUUUGAUAGGCUGGGUGUGUAAUGGAUGAGAGUCCUUUAGCUGACCAGUACUAAUAGCUCGUUUGCUUAUCUUA
Molecule: ribosomal RNA, 1383 nt
Rfam family: Bacterial large subunit ribosomal RNA